UCAGGAGGCGAGCAAACACCCUGAGUCACUUCCCCAUGGAAUGCCAGGAACCUCCACAACCUGCCCGGGGGUUCCCGGGGGUUUCGCAAAGGAAACUUAUGAGGUAUCACUCAGUGAGCACAGAGACGCCUCAUGAACGAAAUGUGGAUCCUUCACCUGUGGGCGAGUCUAAGCACCGCCCAGGUCAGUCUUCAGCUCCUGCUCCUCCACCUCGUCUUAACCCCUCCGCCUCCUCGCCAAACUUUUUUAAGUACCUAAAACAUAAUUCCAGUGGAGAACAAAGUGGGAAUGCUGUGCCAAAGAGCAUCUCCUACCGUAAUGCCCUGCGGAAAAAACUUCAUUCUUCUUCCUCUGUGCCAAAUUUUCUAAAAUUUCUGGCUCCUGUAGAUGAAAAUAACACCUCUGACUUUAUGAACACAAAAAGGGACUUUGAAUCCAAAGCAAACCAUCUUGGUGAUUCUGGUGGGACUCCUGUGAAGACCCGGAGGCAUUCCUGGAGGCAGCAGAUAUUCCUCCGAGUAGCCACCCCGCAGAAGGUGUGCGAUUCUUCCAGCAGAUAUGAAGUCCAUCAUUCCUAGAGGAACGUCACGCACCGGUUAAACUCCGCCAUUUUGCCUCUUAAUGCGC
This 627-nucleotide small RNA is filed under the name Pongo abelii (Sumatran orangutan). RNAcentral describes it as "processed transcript". Lineage: Eukaryota; Metazoa; Chordata; Mammalia; Primates; Hominidae. The record is from RNAcentral.